GAAAUGCGAUAAGUAAUGUGAAUUGCAGAAUUCAGUGAAUCAUCGAAUCUUUGAACGCACCUUGCGCUCCUCGGCAUUCCGUGGAGCAUGCCUGUUUGAGUGUCGUGAAAUUCUCAACCCCUCAUCCCUUGCGGGAAGGGUGGGCUUGGAUUUGGAGGCUUUGCCGGCGAUGUCGUUGGCUCCUCUCAAAAGCAUUAGCCCAGUUCCUUACGGAUCGGCUCCCGACGUGAUAGUUGUCUACGUCGUGACUGUGAAGUGCCUGGCGGGCUUCUAAUCGUCCCUAGCGGGACAAUCACUUUGAAUCUGACCUCAAAUCAGGUAGGACUACCCGCUGAACUUAA
Molecule: unclassified non-coding RNA, 341 nt
Filed under: uncultured Lopharia
Lineage: Eukaryota; Fungi; Basidiomycota; Agaricomycetes; Polyporales; Polyporaceae
Description: sequence contains ITS1
Rfam family: 5.8S ribosomal RNA (bases 1-105)
Source: RNAcentral